UACGGAGGGGACUAGCGUUGUUCGGAAUUACUGGGCGUAAAGCGCACGUAGGCGGAUUUGUAAGUCAGGGGUGAAAUCCCGGGGCUCAACCCCGGAACUGCCUUUGAUACUGCGAAUCUCGAGUCCGGAAGAGGUGAGUGGAAUUCCUAGUGUAGAGGUGAAAUGCGCAGAUAUCAGGAGGAACACCAAUGGCGAAGGCAGCUCGCUGGGACGGUACUGACGCUGAGACGCGAAAGCGUGGGGAGCGAACAGG
Molecule: ribosomal RNA, 253 nt
Filed under: uncultured bacterium
Lineage: Bacteria
Description: partial 16S ribosomal RNA
Rfam family: Bacterial small subunit ribosomal RNA
Source: RNAcentral